Molecule: long non-coding RNA, 966 nt
Organism: Sapajus apella (tufted capuchin)
Lineage: Eukaryota; Metazoa; Chordata; Mammalia; Primates; Cebidae
Exons: 2
Source: RefSeq, a predicted model, not a curated record
GAAGCAGGCACAAGGCAGUUAUGAUAAACCAGGACAAAGUGGGGCUCGGGAGGUGGGGAGAAGGUGCUCCUUUGAGACAGAGCUGGGAGAAUGUGCGGAGGAUUGAUGUGGAGAGGACCCCUGGCCCAAGGAUAUUGCUGUCAUCCACCAGGAUGGAGAAGACUACAAGAAACAGGAAGUAAAUUUAUUGGUGAAUAUUAAGAGGGGGCAGCACAGUGGAAGCCCUCAUGAGUGCACGGCCCAUCACUUGUCCAGAGGGCCACGACUGGGGAUGUACUUGACCCCCAGAGCCAUCUGGGAUGAGCCGCUUCUCAGCCACCAUGUCUUCAAAUUCAUCUGCAUUGAACUUGGUGAAGCUGCACUUCUUUGAGAUGUGGAUCUUCUGGCAGCCAGGGAACUUGAACUUGGCCCUGCACAGGGCCUCAAUCACAUGCUCCUUGUUCUGCAGCUUGGUGCGAUGGACAUGAUAACUCAGCCAAUGUGAACCCUGGCCACAGUGCCCCAGGCCUUUCCAAAGGCACCUUGCAUGCCUGUGUGGAGCCUACACUGGGGUAGUGCAAGGUCAGAGACAUGAACAUACACCUGAAAGGCUUCUCUCCAAGGUCCCUUAGAGCAAUCCAUACAAGAAACAGGCUGCAUUACACUAACAAGGAAGCUGCUGUCUAAAACACAACCACAGGGAGGCAAACACUGGAAGGAGAAUCCAAAUACAGCCAGACAGGGAUGAUGAGAACAGAGAGGAGAAGGUCCAGAUAAAAGCAGAAGAUCACAGCUGAUAAUAAUGUGUUGCCUAUUUCAAAAUUGUUAAAAGAAUAAAUUUUUAACAUCCUCAUCACAACAAAAUAUGUUGGUGAGGUGAUAGGUAUGUUAAUUGGCUUGACUAAAUCUUUCUACAAUGUAGGCAUAGAUCAAAACGUCACAUUGUAUCCCAUCAAUAUGCACAAUUAUCAUUUGUCAAUUAAAAAU